AGAAACAUGGUCUUUUGUUUAUAUAAAAGAUUUGACCUGCCCUAUGAUUUAUUUUAAAUGGCUGCAGUAUUUUGACUGUACAAAGGUAGCAUAAUCAUUUGUCUUUUAAUUGGAGGCUGGUAUGAAUGGUUGGAUGAGGGAUAGACUUUCUUUAUUUUAUAUAAAAAAUUUAAUUUUUUAGUCAAAAAGCUAAAAUGAUUUUAUAGGACGAGAAGACCCUAUAGAACUUUAUUUUCUUUUUAUAUAUUUUUUAUAGAUUUUUAAAAGAUUAUAUUUUUAUGUUAAUUUUGUUGGGGUGAUUGAAAAAAAUGAAUAACUUUUUCUAUUUUUUACAUUUAUAUAUGUUAUUUUGAUCCUUUAUUAUGGAUAAUAAGAUUAAGUUACCUUAGGGAUAACAGCGUUAUUUUUUUGGAGAGUUCUUAUCGAUAAAAAAGUUUGCGACCUCGAUGUUGGAUUAAAAUAAGUGUCAGGGGUAGAAUAUUGUUCACUAGGUCUGUUCGACCUUUAAAUUUUUACAUGAU
RNAcentral lists this ribosomal RNA (521 nucleotides) under Capsus koreanus. RNAcentral describes it as "partial small subunit ribosomal RNA". It matches the Rfam family "Bacterial large subunit ribosomal RNA", at positions 1809 to 2604 of the family's 2925-position model. Lineage: Eukaryota; Metazoa; Arthropoda; Insecta; Hemiptera; Miridae. The record is from RNAcentral.